GAUUGCGAUCAUACCAGCACUAAUGCACCGGAUUCCAUCAGAACUCCACAGUUAAGCGUGCUUGGGCGAGAGUAGUACUAGGAUGGGUGACCCCCUGGGAAGUCCUCGUGUUGCAACCC
Molecule: ribosomal RNA, 119 nt
Filed under: Helianthus annuus (common sunflower)
Lineage: Eukaryota; Viridiplantae; Streptophyta; Magnoliopsida; Asterales; Asteraceae
Source: RNAcentral